UAGUUUCGCUGAACUACUUUCUUUUUAAGUGUAACACUUGAAUCAAGGAUUUAAAAUAUGAUGAAAAAUUAUUAGAAGAAAUAGAAAUAAACAUGAAAACAAAUUAAGCGCAGCAGGAAAGAAAUUUGUUUUGGGGAAAAACACAGCGCGCUUAUUUGGACGAAUGUAAGGAAACAUGGGUGAAACACACAGGUCGUCACCCAGGCAGUGCGGGAGUGCACAGGGAAGGGUUUAGACAGGCGGUACUGGAGGGCGUACCAGAGAGUGUGAAAGCUAAAAUGAUGACUAACCCAGACCUGCCAGGUAGUGACUCUGCUGUGUGGGAGAGACAUUUGUUACACCAUUUACAAGACGCGACAGAAGAAGCGACAGGAGAAGAUAAACAGUUAAAGGAGCUGCAGGCUCGACUGCUGAAGCUCCAGCUCGCCAAAGGAAAGACGAGCGAUAGAUGGUUGCACAGGCUGCCCCAGCUGGAGGUAACGCCCCUGAUUUGUAUCCACUCCCACCAUGGGAGGAGACGUCGUAUGGGACAGCCCAAGGGGGUGGUUACAGGGGAGGCUAUGGAGGUAACUGCUGGGGAGGAGAGUGUUGAGGAG
This is a long non-coding RNA of Gasterosteus aculeatus aculeatus (three-spined stickleback), 596 nucleotides long. Lineage: Eukaryota; Metazoa; Chordata; Actinopteri; Perciformes; Gasterosteidae. The record is from Ensembl.